AUGAAGCCGGAAUUGCUAGUAAUGGCAGGUCAGCAUACUGCCGUGAAUACGUUCCCGGGCCCUUGUACACACCGCCCGUCACACCAUGAGAGUUGGGGAUACCCGAAGCCUGUGAGCUAACUUAACGGAGGCAGCAGUCGAAGGUAGAAUCAAUGAUUGGGGUGAAGUCGUAACAAGGUACC
RNAcentral lists this ribosomal RNA (182 nucleotides) under uncultured bacterium. RNAcentral describes it as "partial 16S ribosomal RNA". It matches the Rfam family "Bacterial small subunit ribosomal RNA", at positions 1320 to 1500 of the family's 1533-position model. The record is from RNAcentral.